RNAcentral lists this ribosomal RNA (519 nucleotides) under uncultured eukaryote. RNAcentral describes it as "SSU rRNA". It matches the Rfam family "Eukaryotic small subunit ribosomal RNA", at positions 1161 to 1698 of the family's 1831-position model. The record is from RNAcentral.
AGGGCACCACCAGGAGUGGAGCCUGCGGCUUAAUUUGACUCAACACGGGAAAACUCACCCGGCCCGGACACUGGAAGGAUUGACAGAUUGAGAGCUCUUUCUUGAUUCAGUGGGUGGUGGUGCAUGGCCGUUCUUAGUUGGUGGAGUGAUUUGUCUGGUUAAUUCCGAUAACGAACGAGACUCUAGCCUAUUAAAUAGAUCGUUGGCUUACAAACGCCGGCGAGACUUCUUAGAGGGACAGGCGGCGAUUCAGCUGCACGAAACAGAGCAAUAACAGGUCUGUGAUGCCCUUAGAUGUCCGGGGCCGCACGCGCGCUACACUGAAGUGAUCAGCGUGCAUUUUGAAACCUACUCUGUCAAGAGUGGGGAACCCAAUGAACCUUCUUCGUGAUUGGGAUAGGGGAUUGUAAUUAUUCCCCUUGAACGAGGAAUUCCCAGUAAGCGCGAAUCAUAAGUUUGCGCUGAUUACGUCCCUGCCCUUUGUACACACCGCCCGUCGCUACUACCGAUUGAAUGUUU